Molecule: ribosomal RNA, 499 nt
Filed under: uncultured Glomeromycotina
Lineage: Eukaryota; Fungi; Glomeromycota
Description: partial small subunit ribosomal RNA
Rfam family: Eukaryotic small subunit ribosomal RNA
Source: RNAcentral
CCAAUAGCGUAUAUUAAAGUUGUUGCAGUUAAAAAGCUCGUAGUUGAAUUUCGGGAUUAGUAAGUUGGUCGUGCCUCUGGUAUGUACUGGCUUUACUGGUUCCUCCUUCUUGAAGAACUGUAAUGUCAUUAAUUUGGUGUUGCAGGGAAACAGGACUGUUACUUUGAAAAAAUUAGAGUGUUUAAAGCAGGCUAACGCUUGAAUACAUUAGCAUGGAAUAAUGAAAUAGGACGUUUGAUCCUAUUUUGUUGGUUUCUAGGAUUGACGUAAUGAUUAAUAGGGAUAGUUGGGGGCAUUAGUAUUCAAUUGUCAGAGGUGAAAUUCUUGGAUUUAUUGAAGACUAACUACUGCGAAAGCAUUUGCCAAGGAUGUUUUCAUUAAUCAAGAACGAAAGUUAGGGGAUCGAAGACGAUCAGAUACCGUCGUAGUCUUAACCAUAAACUAUGCCGACUAGGGAUCGGAUGAUGUUAAUUUUUUAAUGACUCAUUCGGCGCCUUAC